UAGGGAAUCUUCGGCAAUGGACGAAAGUCUGACCGAGCAACGCCGCGUGAGUGAAGAAGGUUUUCGGAUCGUAAAACUCUGUUGUUAGAGAAGAACAAGGACGUUAGUAACUGAACGUCCCCUGACGGUAUCUAACCAGAAAGCCACGGCUAACUACGUGCCAGCAGCCGCGGUAAUACGUAGGUGGCAAGCGUUGUCCGGAUUUAUUGGGCGUAAAGCGAGCGCAGGCGGUUUCUUAAGUCUGAUGUGAAAGCCCCCGGCUCAACCGGGGAGGGUCAUUGGAAACUGGGAGACUUGAGUGCAGAAGAGGAGAGUGGAAUUCCAUGUGGAGCGGUGAAAUGCGUAGAUAUAUGGAGGAACACCAGUGGCGAAGGCGGCUCUCUGGUCUGGAACUGACGGUGAGGCUGGAAAGCGUGGGAAGAAAACAGG
Molecule: ribosomal RNA, 429 nt
Filed under: Gemmatimonadota bacterium
Lineage: Bacteria; Pseudomonadati; Gemmatimonadota
Description: Gemmatimonadetes bacterium partial 16S ribosomal RNA
Rfam family: Bacterial small subunit ribosomal RNA
Source: RNAcentral